UACGUAGGGUGCAAGCGUUAAUCGGAAUUACUGGGCGUAAAGCGUGCGCAGGCGGUUGUGUAAGACAGAUGUGAAAUCCCCGGGCUCAACCCUGGGAACUGCAUUUGUGACUGCACGGCUCGAGUGCGGCAGAGGGGGAUGGAAUUCCGCGUGUAGCGGUGAAAUGCGUAGAUAUGCGGAGGAACACCGAUGGCGAAGGCAAUCCCCUGGGCCUGCACUGACGCUCAUGCACGAAAGCGUGGGGAGCAAACAGG
RNAcentral lists this ribosomal RNA (254 nucleotides) under uncultured bacterium. RNAcentral describes it as "partial 16S ribosomal RNA". It matches the Rfam family "Bacterial small subunit ribosomal RNA", at positions 524 to 776 of the family's 1533-position model. The record is from RNAcentral.